Molecule: ribosomal RNA, 801 nt
Filed under: uncultured archaeon
Lineage: Archaea
Description: bacterial SSU rRNA
Rfam family: Archaeal small subunit ribosomal RNA
Source: RNAcentral
GUCGAUUAAGCCAUGCGAGUUAAAUGUUCUUCGUGAACAUAGCAGACUGCUCAGUAACACGUGGAUAACCUGCCCUUAGGACUGGCAUAACCCCGGGAAACUGGGGAUAAUUCCGGAUAGAUCAUAAAUGCUGGAAUGCUUUAUGAUUGAAAGGUUUCGACCGCCUUAGGAUGGAUCUGCGGCCUAUCAGGUUGUAGUGGGUGUAAUGUACCUACUAGCCUACGACGGGUACGGGUUGUGGAAGCAAGAGCCCGGAGAUGGAUUCUGAGACAUGAAUCCAGGCCCUACGGGGCGCAGCAGGCGCGAAAACUUUACAAUGCGGGAAACCGUGAUAAGGGAACACUGAGUGCUAGCAUUUAUGUUAGCUGUCCACAUGUGUAAAUAGCAUGUGAUAGCAAGGGCUGGGCAAGACCGGUGCCAGCCGCCGCGGUAACACCGGCAGCCCGAGUGGUGAUCACUAUUAUUGGGUCUAAAGGGUCCGUAGCCGGUUUAAUCAGUCUUCUGGGAAAUCUAAUCGCUUAACUAUUAGGCUUCCAGGGGAUACUGUUAGACUUGGGACCGGGAGAGGUAAGAGGUACUGCAGGGGUAGGAGUGAAAUCUUGUAAUCCCUGUGAGACCACCAGUGGCGAAGGCGUCUUACCAGAACGGGUCCGACGGUGAGGGACGAAAGCUGGGGGCACGAACCGGAUUAGAUACCCGGGUAGUCCCAGCUGUAAACGAUGCUCGUUAGGUGUCAGGAACGGUGCGACUGUUUCUGGUGCCGAAGGGAAGCCGUGAAACGAGCCACCUGGGAAGUACGGC